RNAcentral lists this transfer RNA (62 nucleotides) under Nocticola sp. JW1 9/1. RNAcentral's name for it is "tRNA-Asp". The record is from RNAcentral. Lineage: Eukaryota; Metazoa; Arthropoda; Insecta; Blattodea; Nocticolidae.
GAAAAAUUAGUUUAAAUUUAAAACAUUAAUAUGUCAUAUUAACAUUACCUACGUAUUUUUCU